This 351-nucleotide ribosomal RNA is filed under the name uncultured bacterium. Its description in RNAcentral is "bacterial SSU rRNA". It matches the Rfam family "Bacterial small subunit ribosomal RNA", at positions 415 to 779 of the family's 1533-position model. The record is from RNAcentral.
CCUUCGGGUUGUAAACCUCUUUUGUACGGGAAGAAGGAAGUGACUGGUACCGUACGAAUAAGUCCCGGCUAACAUACGUGCCAGCAGCCGCGGUAAUACGUAGGGGACGAGCGUUGUCCGGAAUUACUGGGCGUAAAGGGCGCGCAGGCUGUGCUGCAAGUCAGCUGUNAAAUGUCUGGGCUUAACCCGGGCAUGCGGUUGAGACUGCAGUGCUGGAGUGCUGUAGAGGCAAGUGGAAUUCCCAGUGUAGCGGUGAAAUGCGUAGAUAUUGGGAAGAACCNCGGUGGCGNAGGCGCCNUGCUGGGCAGCNCCUGACGCUGAGGCGCGAAAGCCAGGGGAGCACCCGCGAUU